UACGGAGGGUGCAAGCGUUAUCCGGAUUCACUGGGUUUAAAGGGGGCGUAGGUGGGUUGGUAAGUCAGUGGUGAAAUCCCCGAGCUUAACUUGGGAACUGCCAUUGAUACUAUCAGUCUUGAAUACUGUGGAGGUCAGCAGAAUAUGUCAUGUAGCGGUGAAAUGCUUAGAUAUGACAUAGAAUACCAAUUGCGAAGGCAGCUGGCUACACAAAUAUUGACACUGAGGCACGAAAGCGUGGGGAUCAAACAGG
This 253-nucleotide ribosomal RNA is filed under the name uncultured bacterium. Its description in RNAcentral is "partial 16S ribosomal RNA". It matches the Rfam family "Bacterial small subunit ribosomal RNA", at positions 524 to 776 of the family's 1533-position model. The record is from RNAcentral.